This 1397-nucleotide long non-coding RNA is filed under the name Lotus japonicus. RNAcentral describes it as "long non-coding RNA (LJAP_LNC000455)". Lineage: Eukaryota; Viridiplantae; Streptophyta; Magnoliopsida; Fabales; Fabaceae. The record is from RNAcentral.
CCCUUUUCAGCUUUCAGUGCCAAACCAACCUUGGUGUGGCCUAGUACUUGUUUUCUCAAUAUGAGAAAUCCUUCCACUCUCCAACGCGCUUUUGUUCUCUUCUGCCUUCCCUUGUUGCUUGUUGCCACCUUCGGUUAUGCUACUGAGGUUUCAGGUUUGUCACUCAUUUUCACAUUCACAGCUAAAUUCUGUUUGUUUCAUGUACAAAAUAAGUACACACAUGGUGGAUGUUUGAAAAUUAUUCUACAGUUGAUUUCGCAGCCAUAAUCAAUUCUGAUUGAGUAGCUUCUGUUUUUCAGAAUUGAUUAUGAGAAAAAAGAAUCUGAUACAAACAUGCUAGUAGACUUGUCUACCAGGAAAUGUAUUCUAGUUUUAUAUGGGGAGUUAGUUUCAAUUCCCACUUAGAUGUAUGUCAUUAUUACGUUAUAAUCUCUUAGAGUAUGUAAUCAGAUACAUGUUAGCUGUUUGAUCCCUUUGAUACUGCAUGUAUUCUAUAUAAAUACUGUGCCUAAGAGGCUUGUAAGAUUGAUUAAAUUUUCUUAAAAAAUUAAUUCUAGCACAUAAGGAGCAUAUUGUAAAUAACAUGUACUAAAUGUUAUUAGUUAAAACAUCGUUCAUGUAUGAACCAACUUUUAACAUGGUCUAGUGUAGAAUUGCCUUUCAAUUUAAUGAUUUAUUUUAACACCAAACAUGCAUGUAAGUAAAGUGUGGUCUUUUGCAUUUCUCAUGCAGGGAAUGAAGUGAAGACAGAUGGGAAGGUUGCACAAGAAGAGGUAGCAAAGACAAGCCAAGAAGGACCAAAUGAAGAAGCAAAAUUCAAGGGCUUUUUCCAUCAUAAACCAAUAAUAUUCAAGAAGCCUUUUCCAUUUGUGAAGCCUAUCCCAAAGCCAUUUCCCUUUGUUAAGCCCAUCCACAAGCCCUUUCCAUUUGUUAAGAAGCCUAUCCCAAAACCAAUCUUUGUGAAGAAACCUAUACCUUUUUACAAGCCUGUGCCAAAGGUAAUUCCUGUUCUGAAACCAAUUCCCAUUUAUAAGCCUGUGCCAAAGGUAAUUCCUGUUCCCAUUUAUAAGCCUGUGCCGAAGUUCAUUCCUGUUGUGAAACCAAUUCCCAUUUUGAAGCCUGUGCCAAAGGUAAUUCCUAUUGUGAAGCCAAUUCCUUUUUUUAAGCCUGUACCAAAGGUGAUUCCUAUUGUUAAGCCUAUCCCUAUUCACAAGCCAAGUCCAACUCCAUAAGGUGAGAAGGAAGAGCCUGCCUUGGUAUUCAAUAAAAUAACCAUGUUUUGAAACUUACCACUGUAUCUUUUCAACAUAAAUUGCCUUUGCAAAAUCCUACCUUACCCAUCUUAUAUAUGUAUUGUAUCAGAAUAUGUAGUUAACUAUUGCUUUUGUUUAAAUAAU